Molecule: ribosomal RNA, 468 nt
Filed under: uncultured bacterium
Lineage: Bacteria
Description: partial 16S ribosomal RNA
Rfam family: Bacterial small subunit ribosomal RNA
Source: RNAcentral
GACGAACGCUGGCGGCGUGCUUAACACAUGCAAGUCGAACGGAAAGGCCCUGCUCUUGUUGGUUUCUCGAUUGGCGAACGGGUGAGUAACACGUGAGUAACCUGCCCUUGACUUUGGGAUAACUUCAGGAAACUGGGGCUAAUACCGGAUAUGAUCUCCUGCUGCAUGGUGGGGGUUGGAAAGUUUCGGCGGUUGUGGAUGGACUCGCUGCUUAUCAGCUUGUUUGUGUGGUAGUGGCUUUCCAAGGCUUUGACGGCUAGCCGGCCUGAGAGGGUUACCGGGCACAAUGGGACUGAGAUACGGACCAGACUGCUACGGGAGGCAGCAGUGGGGAAUAUUGCACAACGGGCGGAAGCCUGAUGCAGCAACGCCGCGUGCGGGAUGCCGGCUUUCGGGUUGUAAACAGAUUUCGAAUGUGACGAAGCGUGAGUGACGGUAAUGGGUAAAGAAGCACCGGCUAACUACGUG